GCGUUAAUGGGGUAGUGGUAACCUUGGGUCUUCCCAUGGCCUAGCGCGGGGUUCGAUUCCCCGUUAACGCA
Molecule: non-coding RNA, 71 nt
Organism: Piloderma croceum F 1598
Lineage: Eukaryota; Fungi; Basidiomycota; Agaricomycetes; Atheliales; Atheliaceae
Source: the annotation of a GenBank genome assembly